ACGGGUUGUUAAGAUGAUUCUCUUGGGACAGACUGUUUAACAUAUCCUAAAUUGAGUAGCGGUCCAGCGAGCAGGCAAGAGUUGGUCCUGUGAUGCAAAGAUUUGUGUGGUAGUACACUCUAAAAAUUAGGGAUUCAACUGGAGUUCUUCUAAGAUCCUCGAAGAACCUUAAGGUUCUUGGCAAUGAAAAACAGCCCCAAAAGGUUAUUCGAAGAACUUCUUAGGAGGUGGGUUCAUCGAGGAACCCCCAUUGUUGCUGGAGUUCUUCGGGGAACUUCGCAACUGAAAACGCCCGUGCCAAGAUUGAAUGCGCCAACAGUUUAAAAAGAACAGAACAUGGACACAAUGCAAUUGGGAUCAAGAAGAAGAUCUUCUCAAAAAUGAAUAAAAUCCAUGGAAUGGAUAUAGACCAAAA
Salvelinus sp. IW2-2015 is the source of this 415-nucleotide long non-coding RNA. RefSeq lists it as uncharacterized. Lineage: Eukaryota; Metazoa; Chordata; Actinopteri; Salmoniformes; Salmonidae. The record is from RefSeq and is a predicted model, not a curated record.